This 73-nucleotide transfer RNA is filed under the name Sulfurimonas autotrophica DSM 16294. It matches the Rfam family "tRNA". Rfam says of the family: Transfer RNA (tRNA) molecules are approximately 80 nucleotides in length. Their secondary structure includes four short double-helical elements and three loops (D, anti-codon, and T loops). Further hydrogen bonds mediate the characteristic L-shaped molecular structure. tRNAs have two regions of fundamental functional importance: the anti-codon, which is responsible for specific mRNA codon recognition, and the 3' end, to which the tRNAs corresponding amino acid is attached (by aminoacyl-tRNA synthetases). tRNAs cope with the degeneracy of the genetic code in two manners: having more than one tRNA (with a specific anti-codon) for a particular amino acid; and 'wobble' base-pairing, i.e. permitting non-standard base-pairing at the 3rd anti-codon position. The record is from Rfam by way of RNAcentral. RNAcentral also lists the same sequence under 1 other name. Lineage: Bacteria; Pseudomonadati; Campylobacterota; Epsilonproteobacteria; Campylobacterales; Sulfurimonadaceae.
GGCCUGUUAGCUCAGUCGGUAGAGCAAAUGACUGAAAAUCAUUGUGUCCUUGGUUCGAUUCCGAGACAGGCCA